This 497-nucleotide ribosomal RNA is filed under the name uncultured bacterium. Its description in RNAcentral is "partial 16S ribosomal RNA". It matches the Rfam family "Bacterial small subunit ribosomal RNA", at positions 28 to 507 of the family's 1533-position model. The record is from RNAcentral.
GACGAACGCUGUCGGCGUGCCUAAUACAUGCAAGUUGAGCGCUGAAGGUUGGUACUUGUACCAACUGGAUGAGCAGCGAACGGGUGAGUAACGCGUGGGGAAUCUGCCUUUGAGCGGGGGACAACAUUUGGAAACGAAUGCUAAUACCGCAUAAAAACUUUAAACACAAGUUUUAAGUUUGAAGGAUGCAAUUGCAUCACUCAAAGAUGAUCCCGCGUUGUAUUAGCUAGUUGGUGAGGUAAAGGCUCACCAAGGCGAUGAUACAUAGCCGACCUGAGAGGGUGAUCGGCCACAUUGGGACUGAGACACGGCCCAAACUCCUACGGGAGGCAGCAGUAGGGAAUCUUCGGCAAUGGACGAAAGUCUGACCGAGCAACGCCGCGUGAGUGAAGAAGGUUUUCGGAUCGUAAAACUCUGUUGGUAGAGAAGAACGUUGGUGAGAGUGGAAAGCUCAUCAAGUGACGGUAACUACACAGAAAGGGACGGCUAACUACGUG